GAUGAACGCUGGCGGCGUGCCUAAUACAUGCAAGUCGAGCGAACAGACGAGGAGCUUGCUCCUCUGAUGUUAGCGGCGGACGGGUGAGUAACACGUGGAUAACCUACCUAUAAGACUGGGAUAACUUCGGGAAACCGGAGCUAAUACCGGAUAACAUGUUGAACCGCAUGGUUCAACAGUGAAAGACGGUCUUGCUGUCACUUAUAGAUGGAUCCGCGCCGCAUUAGCUAGUUGGUAAGGUAACGGCUUACCAAGGCAACGAUGCGUAGCCGACCUGAGAGGGUGAUCGGCCACACUGGAACUGAGACACGGUCCAGACUCCUACGGGAGGCAGCAGUAGGGAAUCUUCCGGAAUGGGCGAAAGCCUGACGGAGCAACGCCGCGUGAGUGAAGAAGGUCUUCGGAUCGUAAAACUCUGUUAUUAGGGAAGAACAAAUGUGUAAGUAACUAUGCACGUCUUGACGGUACCUAAUCAGAAAGCCACGGCUAACUACGUG
RNAcentral lists this ribosomal RNA (497 nucleotides) under uncultured bacterium. RNAcentral's name for it is "partial 16S ribosomal RNA". It matches the Rfam family "Bacterial small subunit ribosomal RNA", at positions 28 to 507 of the family's 1533-position model. The record is from RNAcentral.